Molecule: transfer RNA, 75 nt
Filed under: Planctomycetia bacterium
Lineage: Bacteria; Pseudomonadati; Planctomycetota; Planctomycetia
Description: tRNA-Asn
Rfam family: tRNA
About the family: Transfer RNA (tRNA) molecules are approximately 80 nucleotides in length. Their secondary structure includes four short double-helical elements and three loops (D, anti-codon, and T loops).
Source: RNAcentral
UCCGCGAUAGCUCAACGGUAGAGCAGCCGGCUGUUAACCGGCGGGUUGUAGGUUCAAAUCCUACUCGCGGAGCUA